UAACUGCGAUAAAUAGUGUGAACUGCAGAAACCUUGAACACUAAAGCUUCGAAUGCACAUUGCGCCAUGGGAGUCUUAUCCCUUGGUACGCCUGGCUCAGGGUCGUAAACCAAAAACGCAAGUAAAAUGCGUAUAAUUUAACAAAUGACGGGUUCACUCGUGUAUAUGAGUGUUCUCGUAAUGUUUUAGCGCCCAGUGUGAUGCGUGGAGUGUCUAUUGAGUAUUGUGUUUGGAAAUACAAAAUAUUGCUUGACUGACGCUAGAACAACAAUCGAACUACGCUCAUAUUUUGUGGUGCACAAGUGCAUACGCUUCAUUGUGUGUGUGUACGAGUUUUCAAUUUUCGACCUGAACUCAGACGUGAAUACCCGCUGAACUUAA
Molecule: unclassified non-coding RNA, 381 nt
Filed under: uncultured fungus
Lineage: Eukaryota; Fungi
Description: sequence contains ITS1
Rfam family: 5.8S ribosomal RNA (bases 1-105)
Source: RNAcentral